CACAGUUUUCCAAAAAAAAAAAAAGACAAACCAACGACCGCGCUGUGAGCUCUCGCGGGGAUAGGGUUCGAGCCGCCGCCCCUCGGCCUGGCCGCCGGCGGCGCGCUGCUCCUCCGGCCACCCCUCUUCUCCCUCACCGUACGCCGCUCCUGAGUAGCAUGCAGCUCGCCGGACCAUGCGCCGCCCCCUGAGCAGCGCCUAGCUCGCCGGACCGAUUCGUGCCAGCCCCGCCCACCUGAGCUCCGCCUCUGCAAGUGUCGACUCCCCCUCCAACGCCCUCUGCCCCUCAUGGCAUCUCUCUCCACUCUUCUCCUCCAUCCAAGAUUUGGUGGUCCGACUCAUAUCCUAGUGAGUUUGCGUUUGCACAGUGCAUCAGUGUAAAUGCUAGUAUAUACAAGGAAGGACGCGAUGGUCAGAUCGUCGCCAGCCCCUAUCCUGACCCCAAGGUCACAGGCAGCAUCGAUCCGGACGCGCAGGUCGCCGCCACCCCCAACCUUGACGCCCCUGCCCUGGGCAACAGGGCUCUUAAAAUGCAUUCCAGAGGAUUCAACAUCUUGGAGAUAUUCGAAACGGGAAGA
Long non-coding RNA from Triticum dicoccoides, 578 nucleotides. RefSeq lists it as uncharacterized. The transcript is spliced from 3 exons. NCBI's taxonomy places the organism in Eukaryota, Viridiplantae, Streptophyta, Magnoliopsida, Poales, Poaceae. The record is from RefSeq and is a predicted model, not a curated record.